AUAUAUAUAUAUAUAUAUAUAUAGAGUUGAGCUAGAAUGCUAUCGGUAGCAAACCGGUUCCGUUGCCACCCAUUUGUUUUCGAUGAUGGAGCCUUUAAAUUGACGAUCGGCACCGUUGAACAUGAUCUAUAUCACUUGAAGUAUCUAGAAACCAAAUUUCAAAUCUCUUCGACAUCAUUAACCUAAUGAUCAAAGGAUUUCAAAUUUUGUAAUUUUAAUGGUAGAUAUGAGGCGUUUUCUCGUUUAACGGUGUAAAGCUAUCCAAAUCAAUUGAACUUUAGUUAGAAAAUUCUUUUAACUAUUUAGAAUAAGAUCUAUACUCUCGAUCUUGAUUACAAUAUUCCUAUCAUCACUUUUUAGAGGAUAUUCAUUUUCAGCCGUUCAUUUUUACGCCCACUUGAUGGACAAGAGAACAAUAUCGGAAAAGCAUGAAAUUUGAUUUCUAGAUACUUCAAGUGGUAUAGAUUAUAUUCAACGGUGCCGAUCAUCGAUUUUGAAGCUCCAUCAUAAAAAACAAAUGUGUGGCAACGGAGCCCGUUUGCUACUGAUAGUAUUCUAGCUCAACUCUCUCUCUCUCUAUAUAUAUAUAUAUAUAUAUAUA
This 601-nucleotide long non-coding RNA is filed under the name Ananas comosus (pineapple). Its description in RNAcentral is "long non-coding RNA (ACOM_LNC029451)". Lineage: Eukaryota; Viridiplantae; Streptophyta; Magnoliopsida; Poales; Bromeliaceae. The record is from RNAcentral.